AGUGAACGCUGGCGGUAGGCCUAACACAUGCAGGUCGAACGGCAGCACAGUAAGAGCUUGCUCUUACGGGUGGCGAGUGGCGGACGGGUGAGGAAUACAUCGGAAUCUACUUUUUCGUGGGGGAUAACGUAGGGAAACUUACGCUAAUACCGCAUACGACCUACGGGUGAAAGCAGGGGAUCUUCGGACCUUGCGCGAUUGAAUGAGCCGAUGUCGGAUUAGCUAGUUGGCGGGGUAAAGGCCCACCAAGGCGACGAUCCGUAGCUGGUCUGAGAGGAUGAUCAGCCACACUGGAACUGAGACACGGUCCAGAUUCCUACGGGAGGCAGCAGUGGGGAAUAUUGGACAAUGGGCGCAAGCCUGAUCCAGCCAUACCGCGUGGGUGAAGAAGGCCUUCGGGUUGUAAAGCCCUUUUGUUGGGAAAGAAAAGCAGCAGGUUAAUACCCCGCUGUUCUGACGGUACCCAAAGAAUAAGCACCGGCUAACUUCGUG
RNAcentral lists this ribosomal RNA (492 nucleotides) under uncultured bacterium. Its description in RNAcentral is "partial 16S ribosomal RNA". It matches the Rfam family "Bacterial small subunit ribosomal RNA", at positions 29 to 507 of the family's 1533-position model. The record is from RNAcentral.